UGGGGAAUAUUGGACAAUGGGCGCAAGCCUGAUCCAGCCAUGCCGCGUGUGUGAAGAAGGCCUUUUGGUUGUAAAGCACUUUAAGCGCGGAGGAGGCUACUUGGAUUAAUACUCUAGGAUAGUGGACGUUACUCGCAGAAUAAGCACCGGCUAACUCUGUGCCAGCAGCCGCGGUAAUACAGAGGGUGCGAGCGUUAAUCGGAUUUACUGGGCGUAAAGCGUGCGUAGGCGGCUUCUUAAGUCGGAUGUGGAAUCCCUGAGCUUAACUUAGGAAGUGCAUUCGAUACUGGGAAGCUAGAGUAUGGGAGAGGAUGGUAGAAUUCCAGGUGUAGCGGUGAAAUGCGUAGAGAUCUGGGGGAAUACCGGUGGCGAAGGCAGCCAUCUGGCCUAAUACUGACGCUGAGGUACGAAAGCAUGGGGAGCAAACAGG
This 430-nucleotide ribosomal RNA is filed under the name Bacillota bacterium. Its description in RNAcentral is "Firmicutes bacterium partial 16S ribosomal RNA". It matches the Rfam family "Bacterial small subunit ribosomal RNA", at positions 355 to 776 of the family's 1533-position model. The record is from RNAcentral. Lineage: Bacteria; Bacillati; Bacillota.